GGCAUUAAAACCCAUGUGAAUAGCAAUUUUAAUCUGUGCUAAACCCAACUAAUGUUAGUGCAUUUAAAUGGAUUUCCAACAAGUCAUUAUCAUGCAAAUGUUCCCUCAAUAUCUAUUUCUUGGUUAUCUCAUAGUAAUUUCUGCAGGCUAGGUGUUUAUUGCAGAAUAUAAAAUUGAUAUUAGACCUCUAGUCAAUGAAUUAUAGUACAAAUAAAUAUUGUUAAAUUAUGAUCAUAGUAUUGACACAGACCUUAUUAAUGAAGUUAAUUAUUUCUGUAAUGGCUUUUCUGCUCUUCCUGAGAGCUGCAUUUGUUUUUUUAAGGGUCCAAUAUAAUAGAUAUACAUUUUUAAUGAAAUUAAAUGGGAGAGGCUCCGUGAUUCUCCUUUACAUUGGCAGUUGUAAUAAUAUAGUGACAUAUUUUCUUGAAUUAAAAUAUAGAGCAAAUCCAGUGGCUGGUAAAAUAUCUAUCUGUAUGCUUUAGAUCUGAAGCUUUGUUGAGUGUUGCCUACUUGAUGUUACUUUGGUACGUGAUCUCCUUAAUACCAUUUAUACAUGUGCGUAAAAACCAACAUAAUUCAUAGGCAUGUGCAUGGGAAAAUGUUUCGGUUCGGUUCGGCAUUCCAAAAUUCGUGACUUCGGCAAUUCGGCACUUCAGAACUUCGGCACUUCGGAACUUCGGUAACUUCGGCAAUUCGGCACUUCGACACUUCAGCAACUUCGGCAAUUCUGCACUUUGACACUUCAGAACUUCAGCAACUUCGGCACUUCGACACUUCAGAACUUCGGCACUUCGGAACUUCGCCACUUCGGAAUUUCGGUAACUUCGGCACUUUGGCACUUCGACACUUCAGAACUUCGGCACCUCAACACUUCGGAACUUCGGCAACUUCGGAAUUUCGGAAGUUGUCUUGCAGCCACUUGGUAGAUAACUCCCUAAUUCCCACAGUAUUAGGGAGUUAUCUACCAAAAGGCUGAAAGACCUAAAUUGCUCUUUCAGCCACAUUUACUAAUACUAAGUAAAAAUGACUUAGUAUUAGUAAAUUUUGCCCCUACUCGCUAUACCGUGAGUAGGGGCAUGUCUAUUAAACAGUGAGCAGCCGGCAGGUGGGGGCCCUAAAGUAAAAUAAAGGGGGGACCUAUUGUCCUAAAUACUAAUUAGGGGGGGUACCUAAUGUCCUUCCCCCUGGCCCCCACCCCUGAGCAGUGGGUGGGGACUCUAAAUACUAAUUGGGGGGGACCUAAUGUCCUCCCCUCGGGCCCACACCCCUGAGCGGUGGGUGGGGCCCUAAAUACUAAUUGGGAGGGACCUAAUGUCCUCAUUCCUGGGCCCCACCCCUGAGCGUCGGGUGGG
Pelobates cultripes (western spadefoot toad) is the source of this 1352-nucleotide non-coding RNA. The record is from the annotation of a GenBank genome assembly. Lineage: Eukaryota; Metazoa; Chordata; Amphibia; Anura; Pelobatidae.